Oncorhynchus kisutch (coho salmon) is the source of this 1207-nucleotide long non-coding RNA. RefSeq lists it as uncharacterized. The record is from RefSeq and is a predicted model, not a curated record. Lineage: Eukaryota; Metazoa; Chordata; Actinopteri; Salmoniformes; Salmonidae. The transcript has 2 exons.
UUUUGUUUGUUCAUCCUGUUUUGACCUCCAGACUCCUCCAUCUCAUCCCACCAACUCUGUCAGUCCACCAGGCCACUGCAGUAACAGCCACAUCUUCACGUCACGUAGCUUCAGUACCAUCUCAUCCCACCAACCCUGUCAGUCCACCAGGCCACUGCAGUAACAGCCACAUCUUCACGUCACGUAGCUUCAGUACCAUCUCAUCCCACCAACCCUGUCAGUCCACCAGGCCACUGCAGUAACAGCCACAUCUUCACGUCACGUAGCUUCAGUACCAUCUCAUCCCACCAACCCUGUCAGUCCACCAGGCCACUGCAGUAACAGCCACAUCUUCACGUCACGUAGCUUCAGUACCAUCUCAUCCCACCAACCCUGUCAGUCCACCAGGCCACUGCAGUAACAGCCACAUCUUCACGUCACGUAGCUUCAGUACCAUCUCAUCCCACCAACCCUGUCAGUCCACCAGGCCACUGCAGUAACAGCCACAUCUUCACGUUACGUAGCUUCAGUACCAUCUCAUCCCACCAACUCUGUCAGUCCACCAGGCCACUGCAGUAACAGCCACAUCUUCACGUUACGUAGCUUCAGUACCAUCUCAUCCCACCAACCCUGUCAGUCCACCAGGCCACUGCCGUAACAGCCAUAUCUUCACAUCUCAAAGCUUCAGUACCAUCUCAAUGUGUUGAAGUACCAUCCAGGAUCCUGUGGCAACGUCAAUAUGAAACAGCAUUGACCCGUGAUCACCACCAACCAGGGCUCCACAGCGCUAGCCUUGGACACCCAGUGAAACAGCACUGACCCGUGAUCACCACCAACCAGGGUUCCACAGCGGUUGUCUUGGACACCCAAGUGAAACUGCACUGACCCGUGAUCACCACCAACCAGAGCUCCACAGCGGUUGUCUUGGACACCCAGUGAAACUGCACUGACCCGUGAUCACCACCAACCAGGGCUCCACAGCGGUUGCCUUGGACACCCAGGCUUCACUCGUCAAAAGGACAUUUGGAAGGAUCCCAUUGAGCAAAGUAAACAACGAUAUGUUUUUUCAUGUCUUUUGCUCGUAGGGAUGACUUCCCAAGAGAGCACACCAGGCAGCAUGGAGCACAUUGAUGUGAUUGGCUGUUCAGCAGGAAGUUUAAUCUGGCCACACAGAAGGGAUGAUGAAUCUGACAGAGAAUGGUUUUUUAAAAUAAAUAUUUAAAAAAGA